AUGAGAAUUGGUGGAUGGAAAGAAAAAUUGUUAUCCGCUGGAGGAAAGGAAAUUUUGCUCAAAUCUAUUGUACAAUCUAUCGCAACCUAUGCCAUGUCCGUCUUUGAAAUUCCUAAUUGCAAAGGAAUUAUUGAUGCGAUGUCACAAUUUUGGUGGGAUGACGAGGACAAUCAGAAGAGGAUGCAUUGGAUGGCGUGGUGAAAGAUGUGUGUCCCAAAAAACCAGGGAGGUAUGGGUGAGGGAGUUCUGGAUUUGGGGGUUCUCAGGUGUCCGGCCUAUUCGAUAUGGGCGGGCUGA
This 297-nucleotide ribosomal RNA is filed under the name Triticum aestivum (bread wheat). RNAcentral describes it as "partial small subunit ribosomal RNA". The record is from RNAcentral. Lineage: Eukaryota; Viridiplantae; Streptophyta; Magnoliopsida; Poales; Poaceae.